GCCUACACAUGCAAGUCGAGCGGUAGCACAGGAGAGCUUGCUCUCCGGGUGACGAGCGGCGGACGGGUGAGUAAUGUCUGGGAAACUGCCUGAUGGAGGGGGAUAACUACUGGAAACGGUAGCUAAUACCGCAUAACGUCUACGGACCAAAGUGGGGGACCUUCGGGCCUCACGCCAUCAGAUGUGCCCAGAUGGGAUUAGCUAGUAGGUGGGGUAAUGGCUCACCUAGGCGACGAUCCCUAGCUGGUCUGAGAGGAUGACCAGCCACACUGGAACUGAGACACGGUCCAGACUCCUACGGGAGGCAGCAGUGGGGAAUAUUGCACAAUGGGCGCAAGCCUGAUGCAGCCAUGCCGCGUGUGUGAAGAAGGCCUUAGGGUUGUAAAGCACUUUCAGCGAGGAGGAAGGGUUCAGUGUUAAUAGCACUGUGCAUUGACGUUACUCGCAGAAGAAGCACCGGCUAACUCCGUGCCAGCAGCCGCGGUAAUACGGAGGGUGCAAGCGUUAAUCGGAAUUACUGGGCGUAAAGCGCACGCAGGCGGUUUGUUAACUCAGAUGUGAAAUCCCCNCGCUUAACGUGGGAACUGCAUUUGAAACUGGCAANCUANAGUCUUGUACACGGGGGUAAAAUUCCAGGGGUAACGGUGAAAUGCGUACAUAUCUUGAGGAAUAGCCG
Molecule: ribosomal RNA, 676 nt
Filed under: Serratia sp. 1AR1
Lineage: Bacteria; Pseudomonadati; Pseudomonadota; Gammaproteobacteria; Enterobacterales; Yersiniaceae
Description: bacterial SSU rRNA
Rfam family: Bacterial small subunit ribosomal RNA
Source: RNAcentral